UACGUAGGGGGCAAGCGUUGUCCGGAUUUAUUGGGCGUAAAGAGCGUGUAGGCGGCCAUACAGGUCCGUUGUGAAAACUGGAGGCUUAACCUCCAGACGUCGAUGGAAACCGUAUGGCUAGAGUCCGGAAGAGGAGAGUGGAAUUCCUGGUGUAGCGGUGAAAUGCGCAGAUAUCAGGAGGAACACCGGUGGCGAAGGCGGGUCUCUGGACAGUUCCUGACGCUGAGGCACGAAGGUCAGGGGAGCAAACGGG
RNAcentral lists this ribosomal RNA (253 nucleotides) under uncultured bacterium. RNAcentral describes it as "partial 16S ribosomal RNA". It matches the Rfam family "Bacterial small subunit ribosomal RNA", at positions 524 to 776 of the family's 1533-position model. The record is from RNAcentral.